UUUUUCUUUCUUUCUUUUUUUUUUUUUUGACAGGAUGGGCUGGGGUUGGGGGAGGAGGAAGCAAGAAUCAAGCAGAGAAGGCGAGCUCCUUUCUGUUAAUCUAACUCAAACUGACGAGUCAUUGAGCUGACUCCAAUCAGCAGGAUCCCCUGGUCGCCUGACUCAGGCCUCCCCAAUCAGAGGUAGAGUCUGCGGUGGACGGACAGACAGGUCCGGAGAGGCUGACCCAAGUGACCACCUGGUAAUUACUUCAACAGCAGAGCGACUCAUACAGCCAGCAGUCCACUUUGUUCUUCUAUAGAUCCUGCCUGUGGUGUUGGAUCUAACAGCUUCUUCCCUGACCCAAGAUUAUGAAGGAUUUCUCCUGUGUUCUCUUCUAAAAAUUUUAUAUUUAGGUAUAUAAUCCAUUUUGAGCUAAUUCUUUUAAAUAGUGCAAAGUAUGGAUUGAAGUUCUUUUUUUUUUUUUUUUGCAGAUACAUAUUUAAUUUUUCCAGCACCAUUUGUUGAAAAGACUAAUGUUCUUGCCUGAAUAGCCUUUGCAUUGUUGUUGAAAAUCAUGUUCACACAUGUACACAUUCCACUGAUCUAUUUGCCUCUUUGUGAAAAUACUACUAUUUUGAUUAAUAUAGAUUUAUAGGGAGUCUUAAAAUCAUAUCUUAAAAAGACAGUGGAAGUUAUUUAACCUUACUCUUGCUUUUAGAAAUUGUUUUGGAUAUUCUAGAUCCUUUGUGUUUCCAUAUAAAUUUUAUAAUCAGUUUGGCAAUUUAUUUAAAAUAUUCUUCUGGGAUUUUGAUGGACAUUACACUGAAUCGAUGGAUCGCUUUGGGGACAACUGACAUCUUGACAAUAUUGAGUCAUCUAACAUAUGAUCAUGGAAAUUGCUCCAUUUAUUUAGAUCUUCUUUCACAUCUUGAAGCAGUGUUUUGCGUUUUCAGUGUAUAGGUAUUUAAUAGAUUUAAAAAUAUGAUCCCUAAAUAUUCAAUGUUUUUGAUGCUAUUGGAAUUUUAAAAAAUUAAUUUCUGUUCUGAGGAAGGAAAAUAAUAAAAGAUUAAACAGGAAAAAUAAAAAUAAUCAAAACAAAAGAUAAAUCAUUGACAAAUAUAAUAAAAAAUAAAAUAAUAAAAAAUAUACAAAA
RNAcentral lists this long non-coding RNA (1135 nucleotides) under Pan troglodytes (chimpanzee). RNAcentral describes it as "lincRNA". Lineage: Eukaryota; Metazoa; Chordata; Mammalia; Primates; Hominidae. The record is from RNAcentral.